This is a long non-coding RNA of Lingula anatina, 869 nucleotides long. Lineage: Eukaryota; Metazoa; Brachiopoda; Lingulata; Lingulida; Lingulidae. The record is from RefSeq and is a predicted model, not a curated record.
GCUAAUGAUGAAAAACGUAGGUAAAUUAUUUUGAAUUGGUCUCUACAAGAAAGUACCUGCUAAAGGAAUUACAUAUAGAAUAACACGUGAUCUUGGGACACAAACCCCUCUCAUAUCAGACAAGACUACAUGAACCGAGAUCCAAGGUAAAAAAUUGCAGAUUUUUCUCUUCUAAUUUUUCCGUUUUCAUUUCUAGAAUGUUUGCUCACAUUCGUUGAUAUUGGUUUGGGUGCGUACCUUUGUCUGAAAAACAAUGAGAACAUUUCAAAUGACUAACCUAAUUCAAAUGAUAUAGGUACUGAGAAUAUAAGCCACAUUUUUGUCAUUUUUACUUUGCCCAGUUAAUCCAGCAGCCAUCUUACUUCACAAUAUCACUGCAAGGCAUGACGCAUCAAAUUCAUUUAAAUUUCAAACCCAGGCGUUUAAGACCAGCAGUUUAAUUUACUUUUCUUUUUCCUGGCAAAAUAUCGUUUUUCUGACGGUGGCCUACCUGCCUAGAGGUGAAUAUAUAGAGAACAACACGUUAUCCUGGGACAUAAACCUUAUAGCAGACACGAGCGACAAACCAAGAUUUAAGAAGAUGACUUGUUAUCUCGUGAUAACAGCUGCUGUGACCUGCGCAUGCGUGGUAGCUAUUAUGGUACAGCAAACCGAGGGAGUGUGCUGCAAAUCCGAGUACUAUGGGUAUUGCAAGGACUGCACUUUGGGUACCCCUUACUGUGGGAAUCAAGGCUGUAAUGUAUUCGGCUGUGCAUGUGGUGGCGGAUGUAGAACUGACUGUGGAAAAAGCGUAAUUGUUGAAAGCAAUUUUCAUGGUACUGUAGUGGACUGCAGAUGUACCAACACAAGGUCCACGAGGGGCACUGAUG